AGGAUGCAGACUUACUGUCUCUCAGAGGAUUGCUACCUGGUGAGAGUGGACACACAAGAGAGCCUGAGAGCUUUAACUGAGAGUUGAAGUUAUUCUGGAGGAGGAAGAAGGUGGUGUGACCAACCCAUGAGGGUUUGCAUCGGGGACAAAUUGGUCAUGAAUUAAAAUGGAUAUUCAACUGUUCCAUGAGGCAACGAAUGGGGAUUUUACAUAUUAAAUCAGCAUUGUCUGCUGGAGCUCUCUGCCACCUGGGAAGGCUCUGCAUUUGGGCUGUCAAAGCCACAAGCUCAGACAAUGAAGAUGGCAAACUGAAGGUGUACACUUCUUUCAAGUCAGUCACCAGAGGCUUAAGUGUUGGACUGUGUCUAUGGAUAUCCUAUUGCAGAACAUGGCGUUAGAUUAGUGAGAACAGUCUUCCUCUAUAGGCACAACUUUGCAUCAGACAUUUGAUGGGAGAGGUUCGUCUUUGAAGGGAAGUUUUAUUUAAGUCUGUCCCUGGAUCCACAUCAUCCGUACGUCUGUCUACAGGGCAAAGGACUUCAUCUUUCAUGAGUGCAAUUUCAAACUUGGUGCCAACGAGAGACAUCUUCCCUGGACUCAAAUGCGCGAAGCCUGAACAGGACAUCUUGAGUGUUAGCUUCUCUGGGACGGCUGCGGUGUGCAGCACAUUUUUGUUAAGGUGUUAUUCAAAGUUUCUGAUUAACAUAAGUUUUUCUUAAAAUUAUACAAAAACAUAAUACCAUGAUUAUGGAAAUAAAAAGCCACCCACAAGCUUACUAUCUUUACA
Molecule: long non-coding RNA, 787 nt
Filed under: Mus spicilegus (steppe mouse)
Lineage: Eukaryota; Metazoa; Chordata; Mammalia; Rodentia; Muridae
Description: lncRNA (ENSMSIG00000002537.1)
Source: RNAcentral